This 275-nucleotide signal recognition particle RNA is filed under the name Saimiri boliviensis boliviensis (Bolivian squirrel monkey). RNAcentral describes it as "Metazoan signal recognition particle RNA (ENSSBOG00000003740.1)". The stretch from base 38 to 267 matches the Rfam family "Metazoan signal recognition particle RNA", at positions 55 to 288 of the family's 299-position model. From Rfam's summary of the family: The signal recognition particle (SRP) is a universally conserved ribonucleoprotein. It is involved in the co-translational targeting of proteins to membranes. The record is from RNAcentral. Lineage: Eukaryota; Metazoa; Chordata; Mammalia; Primates; Cebidae.
GCAAAAAUGGGAGAGAGGUCAGGAGGCUGAGGCUGGAGGAUCUCUUGAGCCCAGGAGUUCUGGGCUGUAGUGCGCUAUGCCGAUUGGGUGUCCGCACUAAGUUCGGCAUCAGUAUGGUAACCUCCCGGGAGUGGGGGACCACCAGGUUGCCUAAGGGGUGAACCGGCCCAGGUCGGAAAUGGAGCAGGUCAGAACUCCUGUGCUGAUCAGUAGUGGGAUUGUGCCUGUGAAUAGCCACUGCACUCCGGCCUGGGUGACAGAGCAAGACUGUCUAA